AAUAAUGAGCUACUCGGGUUGGUUAGAUCCACGCCUUAAUGCAUAUACAACCAAUAGAGAAAUAGGUCAAAUAUGGCGACAAUGAUCAACUUGCUCUUCUUCUACUAAAUUAAAGAUUCGUGUGGAGAUUCUGUCGAUAUAAUCAUAUAUUUAUAUCUGCUCUUUCUUAAAAUGGAGACGUCCAUCUCUGAGACAACAAAAACGCAAAUAAAUGGAAGAUAAAAGCAAGAAAGACAACCCUAAUAAAGGAGUCAGGACUAAGACUAGUAAUUAUUUCCCCUUAUUUCAUGAUUGUCGAAUGUAGUGCGAGUUAUAAAUAGACAAUUUUUCCCUUAAUUUUUUUCUCCCCUCUUCCUGCAUUUUUGGGUUGACUUUUUGGUCUAGAAUUGGAGAAAAGGGAUCAAAUUUGCAAUUUCAUAGCAGUUUUGGGUAAUACUGAUGAUAUUACAGCGGAGGGAUAGGGGGUGUAAAGUGUCUUUCUGCAGAGCAAUCAUUGUGUCGGAAGUGAGAUUUUCACCCCUGUCAACUUCAAAUCCGUGUAGCAAAAAAAUCUAAACGGUCAACCCCCUACAAAAUUAUGAUGAGGAGAUUGCCAAAUGUUGUCCCCAUUGUGCCUAUAAAGAUUGGAACCAACGGAAUGUUGAGCAAAAAGCUACAGCCUGUGAUGUUACAGUCAUUUAACAUUGAAAUCAAUGGGCAAAUAAUUGCUAGUCUGACUCCUGAUGAUAUAAAGAAGCAUGGCCGACUCGGGAUGUUGAUAUUUUUUCAACGGCUUAUUUCCUGAAGUUUUGAAUGGAAAGUGUCAGAAAUGGUGCCAGGGCAAUGUUUCAUAGAGUGGAAUGAUUGACCUCAACACAAGUAUUAAAAAAAAAGAAGCAAAACAGUUUCAAUAUUGGAUGUAUAUGCAAAUCACCCAGAAAAAGCUCAUGUAAUAACAAAAGAAAUUAUAAAAGAAAAAAAGGAAGAAGAAAUGGCUGGAAAAAAUGAUGAUAGAGCAGCUUUUUCUUGUUACCCACCUCGGAAGAUCAAGUUGGAAAGGGCUAUUGAUAUUGUGGAGACGUUUUCUCACAGAUCUUGCUUAUCAGACAAAGACUAUGUAAGUACCAUGCAUAUUUGCUUUUUAAAUCAGGAACUGGUUCUAUACACUUGGUGGGGGGGUUGGAUGGACGUUAAACCCCAUUUCUCUCUCUCUCUCUCCUAAAUAUUGAGAUUUUUGUUUACUUUUAAACUGCAUAUAUUCAAGGUAUCAGGAGCUUUUUAUGGCUCCCGUACAAUUUUAUAAACAUGAAGGACUGUACCUUUUGAAUAUUAAGCCAUCAAAUUAUUUUAUAAUUUUGAAAAUGAAAUGAAAUGGGGUUUAACAUCCUACUGUUUUGCUCAUAAAUUGGGCUAAUGAAGACGGGCAUACGCCAUACAGUGUGCUAUGAAGGGAAUUUUGCCCGGGCAGCGGCGCUACAGCCUACUCUUAUAUCGAAUUCCAAUUGCCAAGGAAUCUUUUAUGUGCACGCCAAUGUGUACACGGGACCUCGGUUUUUCGUCCCAUCCGAACAACUAGACAGCUGUCCUUGUCAGGUCCUCCGUCCUGUAUCACUGACAAGGGGAAAACACGCAAAAUGCUGGAACACCAUUGAAAGAGUACUUGCUGUAUGAUAACAACAAGAAAACCCAAGCAUCAAUUUAUUUUAUACUUCUGGGAAAGAAUGCAUUUGACCCAAUUUUUGAAUAUUUAUUUUUUGUUAUUAAUGUUAAAUUUUCUUCCAAAACACAAUUAGAUUUUAAUUCUCUUCAGAAAUGUAUGUAUAAUAUAGCAAGUAAAGUGGCAUAUAAAUCACUUAGAAUUUGGUCAGAAAUCAUAAAGUAUUUAAUAGGCAUUACUAGAAACCAAAUGUAGAUCAAAUACA
Molecule: long non-coding RNA, 1901 nt
Organism: Patella vulgata (common limpet)
Lineage: Eukaryota; Metazoa; Mollusca; Gastropoda; Patellidae
Exons: 6
Source: RefSeq, a predicted model, not a curated record